AGGACGAACGCUGGCGGCGUGCCUAACACAUGCAAGUCGAACGGAGAAUUUCAAGAAGUUUACUUUGAGAAAUUUUUAGUGGCGGACGGGUGAGUAACGCGUGGGUAACCUACCCAUAAACCCGGGACAACCCUUGGAAACGAGGGCUAAUACCGGAUAAGCUUAGAUCUUGGCAUCAAGGACUAAGAAAAAGGUGGCCUCUGUAUAUGCUACCGAUUAUGGAUGGACCCGCGUCUGAUUAGCUAGUUGGUGGGGUAAAGCCUACCAAGGCGACGAUCAGUA
This 282-nucleotide ribosomal RNA is filed under the name uncultured bacterium. RNAcentral's name for it is "partial small subunit ribosomal RNA". It matches the Rfam family "Bacterial small subunit ribosomal RNA", at positions 26 to 285 of the family's 1533-position model. The record is from RNAcentral.